Molecule: ribosomal RNA, 261 nt
Filed under: uncultured prokaryote
Description: partial 16S ribosomal RNA
Rfam family: Bacterial small subunit ribosomal RNA
Source: RNAcentral
UACGGAGGAUCCGAGCGUUAUCCGGAUUUAUUGGGUUUAAAGGGUGCGCAGGCGGGAGAUUAAGUCGGCGGUGAAAUUUUGCAGCUCAACUGUAAAAGUGCCUUCGAAACUGGUUUCCUUGAGUGUGGAUGAAGUAGGCGGAAUUUGUGGUGUAGCGGUGAAAUGCUUAGAGAUCACACAGAAUAUCGAUUGCGAAGGCAGCUCACAAAGCCAAGAUUGACGCUGAGGCACGAAAGUGUGGGGAUCAAACAGGAUUAGAUA